This is a long non-coding RNA of Meriones unguiculatus (Mongolian gerbil), 3485 nucleotides long. RefSeq lists it as uncharacterized. The record is from RefSeq and is a predicted model, not a curated record. Lineage: Eukaryota; Metazoa; Chordata; Mammalia; Rodentia; Muridae. The transcript has 2 exons.
UCGAGCAUUUGAGGACUGUAGCAGAGCCGACCACAGAGGCCCUUAUUGUGUGCAUCUGCAGAGCAGCCGUGGAGAAGGCUGGGCUGUCUUAAUUUUAUCCCAGGGCUUAGGUCUCAGGUGUUUAAAUGAGUCAUUUUGCUUUCUGGAUAAUGCCUUCACUGAGAUGCUUAUGACGGUCCUGGGCAUGUGAUUGUGCUGUGCAACUUCUACCUGGACAGCCAGUCCCUUAAACAGAAGGUGAACACUACCUACCCCUGUCCAACUAGAAGAGACCAUGAUCAGUGGGACAAACCACCACGAUAACAUCCACACCUUUCAGCUGGGUUGCCGUAAGCAGAGCUGGACCUCAGGGUGAAGGAAAAGACGCUUAACAACACAGCCGUUGGCUUUGAUCCAUCCUGCGCUGGCUCUUCACCUGAUGACCAAGCACGCUCAAACAAUGGAAUGACCUUGCAAUCCUUUCCGUAGACACAUGACGAGCACCCACCGUCAGCACGUAUGGGCAUCGUGAUUAAGCGCUGGACCCAGAGAUGACUGGAGCCAUGUCUGUCUUGUGGCUACAAUUCCCAGUCUCGACAUUAGGCUUUGGCUUGCAAACAGGAGGGCCACCCUGUCUUGUCUUUUCCAUAUCCCACACCUGAUCCUAGUCCGUAUCUCCUGACAGCAUUCGUCAUUAUUUUCUCUGCUCUCUGCAAUGUCACAUGGCAGAGACAGACCAGAGUGAGGAUUUGCCUUAAAAGAAACAGUGCAAGGGGUGGACAAGCCUGAAGACUAAGCGAAACGCGGGAAGGGUGUCAGCAGGAGGGAAGGAAGAGGUGAAGCAAAGCCUCGUGUAGGAAGGAAGACUGUACUAGGUAGUAAGAGCACUGGACCACGGGAAAAUAAACAUGGGAGAGCAUCAUGCCGCGUGUUUAUUUUGGAGCUUCCCUACCUGAAGCGUUAAGGAAGGGGUGGCAGUGUGUGCAAGUCAUUCCUUACGCUGAUGAAACUCGGGGUAGCAAUUGGAGAAGGCAGAGCGGAGCUUGCUGCUAAGGAGCCGGGGGAUGCUGCCUCGAGAGCGCUGGCCCCUUGCAUCAGUCAUCUGUUCAUUUAUUCGCACCCAGCCCCACGGGGAAUUCAGGACUCUGAAAAAGAGACAUCGCCAACUUGUAUUUGUGUCUAAACUUGUCACAGCCUUCUUUGUUAGGCCAUGAAGGAGCCGCCUUGUCAAGUUAGGAGGGAGGGAGCCCUUGGCAGCCUCUGGAGUUUGGCCCUUGUUGAAUGGCAAUUUUUGUUUGUUUUCUUUAAUCUCUUUCAACUGGCUGCAGAGCAGCAGAAAGAGGCACGCGUGUCUGAGCCCAGGCAGCUUCCAGCUCCUGGGCAGAGAACAGCCAGUGGCCCUUCAAGGGUGGUGGUGGUGGAGAAAUGUGAAAAAGCUUUGCUUGCGAACACAGGCUGAUGAGAUCUGUUCACUCAGUGUGUCGUGCGGCUCGGUAGGCACGGCUUAGGUAGGCCUUUCUGUCUAGAAAGGAGAAAUGAUUGUAGCCUGGGGACUCUGCUGGGACUUUUGACUCUUGAGCUACCAACUUGAGUCAUGGGGUUUGGCUUAUUUUAAUAUUUGGAGCUGAAGUUUUAGUAUGUAGUCUUACAGUGAUGGACUCAAAUAUGCCAUCCUCCUCUCUCAGCCUUCCUCACCCCAAACUGCUGGGAGUAGAGGCAUGUGCCACCACCUCAGGCUUGUUUUUUGGUUGUUGUUGGUGGUUUUUUUGUUGUUUUGUUGUUGUUGUUUUGAGUACUAGAGAGACCACUGUAUCAGGUGGUUCAAGCCAGCAGACCUUAGAUGUAAAAGAAUUUUGGUAUUCCAGGAUGAACAGACUGGAAUGUCUGCAAAUUUAAAGCACACAUAGAGUAAGCAGAGCUGGACCAGGGCAGUGCUCACGCUGAGCAACCAGACUGUUAGAGCCAGAUACUGCAAUCACUGGUGUGAACAUGACCUGAGCCACCUCAGGACUGAAGGCAGCAGAGAUGGAGCAGGCUGAGGGUUCUGGGAGCCUGAGGUCCAGCUUAAAUUGCCCACUGGGUUUUGGCAAACUCUGCAACCCGCAGAAAGACAGAAGCUGCCUGCAAACUGAUCAACUUUAGAAACUUGGUAAACAUGCUGCAGGCAGGCAGCUCCCAACUGAUGUCCAGGGAGGCAUGAGAGACCGAGGGAGAGAGCUCAGGAUUCAGCUUUCUGCAGGCAGAUGGAACUGACGACUGGAAGGACCCAGACCAGACCAGACGGGCUCUACAGUUCUUCGUGCUGUGUUGACCCAGCCAAAACAAAGAAACAAAAAACCUUAUUUUGUCGUUACUUCUUAACUAUAAUUUCGCUACUGUUGUAGAUCAUAAUGUGACUAUCUGAUAUACAGGAUAUCUGAUAUGCAGCCCCCAAAGGGGUCUCUAACCACAGGUUGAGAACCCCUUUCCUAUAGGCUGGGGAACUGCUAGCUUAUUAGGCUGUGACUCAGACUUUCUCUAAUUUACAUGGCCAAAAUAAACUAGGCAGAGCUCCCUGGCUGUGGCCUGCCCUGCCUUGCUUUAACUCUUCCUAGCCCUGAGCUUUCAAUCUCAGUUCUGCUGGUUGCAAGUGCCCCCCCUCCCCCACCACAUGCCCCCUUCCCUCGUGUGCCCCAGCCUUGGUGCAGAUGCAGAUUGAGCUGAGAGGAAACCAAGAGCCUCAGCUUCCCUCUGUGUUAGCUGCAUGGGUGAAACCUGUCCCUGGGGCUGGGAUCUUUACUCUGUAACGAGUGGUACCUCAGCCCUUUCGCUAGUCCUGCGGUCCACAUUGCAUCACAGGGAGGAGGAAGCAGACCUUGGGGGCAGUCUUUGGGUUUCUAUUCCUCUUUUUUGGGGGAGAGAGAGGGGGCAAUAUAACUUGUGAGUGCUGGGAUUACAAGUGUGAGUGCCAAAUCUCUGGGAUUCUGCUUGCAUAGCUCCUUGCACAUGGCUGAGUCCUACUUUGAUAAAGAAUGUGUCCCAUCCAGGGGCCAGGGCAGCCGCUCGCUGGUCUACUGGAUAGAAGCCCAGCUUUCCCUGAUUGGGUUCUAUUUCCAUUUCUGUUGUCUUGAGUCACUUCCCCUCCUUCACAGGAGGCCAUGCUAUGGUCUGGGGAUUCCCUCAAGGGUGUGUCCAUCCUGUACUCAGAUUGGCCAGUGGUGGGGAUGACAGCAUCAUCCCCUCCUGUCAUGAACAGUUCCUUCCUAUUGGCUGGCUACACAUUUCAUCCUAUCUCCUGCCUCAGUGGUUGCAAAUUGUGAAUGAAUGAAUGAAUGAAUGAAUGAAUGAAUCACAAAUUACAUUUUAUUGUGCCUUAUGUAAAUAUUUGGGAAAGUAUUAUUUAAGGAUUCUUUAUAAAUAUUAUUUACUUGGCUUCCUUUUGAAUACAUUUACUUUUCCAUUUCUUUUUCUUAAUUUUACUUUUCUGCAUCUGUAUCUGGACCAAUAAAUAGGCCCUGAAAAUCUAA